AACACGAAGUGGGGAUCUGCACUUGGGGUGGUCAGCACUGCGGAUGCCCAGCAAAGUCACUGCCUGGUCCACAUCCCGGAGGGGUCUCUGCGCCUCAGUCGGCAUCGCAGCUGAUGGUGAAACUUUUGGUGUGGCAGAAGAGUGUCCACAAACUUCGGAAGGGCCGCGGCGGCAAGGUCCUUGCUCCCAUGGCGUGACUCCAGGGUGCAGGAGCCUGGGCUGAGCAGGUGGAGUAGGGUGAGCUCCGCCAAGAACCCAGCGAGAGUGGCGCCCCAGGGCGGCACAGGAGGCCGCAUUUAACAUGUCAAUCAUCUGAAAGAUUUUAUGGCAUCUUUUUUUUGACAUCUUAUAAUAUCUAUAAUGUUUAUUAUAUCUUGUGAUAUAAUUA
This 388-nucleotide long non-coding RNA is filed under the name Homo sapiens (human). RNAcentral's name for it is "non-protein coding lnc-FAM182B-8:10". The record is from RNAcentral. Lineage: Eukaryota; Metazoa; Chordata; Mammalia; Primates; Hominidae.